Molecule: RNA transcript, 2830 nt
Organism: Capsicum annuum
Lineage: Eukaryota; Viridiplantae; Streptophyta; Magnoliopsida; Solanales; Solanaceae
Exons: 2
Source: RefSeq, a predicted model, not a curated record
ACGUUUAGAAAUCACCUAUGUGUGGGCGAAGUGGAAGCCGCUUCAAAGAGAAUGUUAGUAAAGGUCUAUUCUCUAAGCUCUCAUGAAAACCGGGACGUGUUCAUGGCUGAAAAGAACAAAAUCGUAAGAACCAUAAACUGUAAAAAGCUGGUUGUGUGACAUGUGUUGUCUAGGUGUACAUUAAAGCUCGACGGUUCAAAGAUAUCAAAUCUACCGAUUGACCGAGUGUAUCCGAUGUAUGUUCACUACGGCAAGUUCAAAGGAAACCUACCCACCUAUCCAGAUGCAAUCAGUCUUUGCUUGAUGAUCACAUGCUUGUCCGUAAAAGUUUUACGAAAAAUAGCCAUACUCCAUUCAUGUGGGGGAUUGUUGGGUUCAUAGUAAAUGAAUGAAGUGUGAAUGAAAAAAUGGAGAGAAAAAUGGUGGAGAAGAGGAGAUACCAAUUUGGAAAGAGUACUCCCAAAAUUAGAAAGUUCACUAAUUCUCCCACAUUGGUGGGAGAAGAGAACUUUAUAGUGUUUAUAUUAAUGAACACUAACUCCACAUGGAUAGUGAGGCAAGAACUAGGUGAUGCAUCGCGCCGUCAUCGUCGCUCGGCUCGAAUUCGGAUUUGGUCAAAUGAUCGAUCGAUGAGAUCUUUCUUUUUGGACAAAUUUUAUUUGACAGAAAUAAAAUCCGAAAAGUGUUUGAAACUCCAUUUAAAUAUAUAUACAGUAAUGCAGUAAUCAGUAGGAACGUGAACAGUAGCACUGUUACGUGAACAGUAGCACUAUUUUACGUGAACAGUUGCACUGCUUCAUGAAUUGCUGCAACGCUUCAUUGAACUGACACACUUAUUCACGAAAUGACAUGCCUGUUCAAGAACAGUCACACUGUUUGGCCGAAUGGACAUGAAUUUUCAGAAAAGGUAGUACCUUUUAGACGAACCUUUGUCUCUUUUCAGAAGAGGCAUCAUUUGGCUAUAAAAACCUGCUUUCAUUUAUAGGUUUUGGUACAUAAAUUUUCAGAUUAAAAAAACAUUCUUCUUGUCUUAAAAAUACUCUAAGUGUGAUCAUUCAAACUGUGAGUGUGUUCGAAGAAUCCGCCUAUUUGAGGUACCGCUAUAGUUGGAUUGAAGGCCAUUUUAUCCUGGGAGGAAGAUUCCAUAACCUCGAGUACAGUGAGGGGAAUUAUUCCUUUAAGGAAAGUCCGUGAAUUCGGACGACUUGGCCUUAGCUAUUUCUGUUUCAUCUUUAUUUUCUGAAAAAUAAAUAUACCUCUUGGAAAGGUCCUUUUGAUCUUGUGUUGAGGGUAUUUAAAACUUCAUUGUGUUCUUGUUCAUACUUGAACACGAGUUGAAGUUGUUGUUCUGUUAUACAGAUUCUACUUACCCGUAUUGUGGAAAAUAACAAUUUCUCCUGAUUUUGACAUCAAAGGAUUGGUAUAAGCUGCAUUAGCUCGCUGAUUCCCAUUCAUGUCAGGUGAUUUGAUUUUACCCUGGUGUUAACUAUCAGCAGGUAACAGCGAAGGUGGAGCAAAAAUGACUGGAAGUAUGCAACUAAUGCGUGAGUUCUGUGAUCUCUCAACCACUGCAUUGCAUAUGAGGUUAUUGUUUCGUAGUAUUUUCCCACUUUGGGUUUUAAGUGGGAAUAGUUAUCUUUAGCCAUCAUAUCAGUAUGAUUUACAAGUUGAAUGGCUUAAUCUAUCUGGAGGUGCGUCUGCGGAACUGAUAAUUUUCAGUUUAAUAUAUCCAAAGAGUAUUCUUCUGAAGGGAUUUACUUAUUUACUUAUGUUUCCUCGGAGAUUCUUCGUUUUAUGCUAAAUAUCAACAAUUAAGGUGCAGUGACUGAAGAGGUGCCGCUGACUGAAGGUGCUUUAUUCUAUGAUGUCACCUUUAUGUGAUUCUGUUCUCGAGCAGACCUUGAACCCGAGACUCCUGUACUCUUCUCGGAGUAGAUAGAUUUUUGGGAUUUUCAUUUUUCCCCAGUUAAAUUGAUGUCGAAUUUGAGCCGAUAAUUAAACUUCAAGAAUGGAUGCUCCUAUGAAGAAACCUCAGUCUAAUGGACAGAAAACCUUAAUCAGUGAUGACCUUUUUGGCUAAGAGGCUAAAAUCCAGGAGCGUCAACACAGAUAUAGAGAAAGUAAACAUCAUAAAGCUGAUAAAACGGAGGUGCUGGGCACAAACCAACUAGCUUCAUUACCGGUGGAGGUGCCUGUAAUUUUUGCUCCUCAGGAUAGUGCACAGCCAGUGAAUGUUGCUCCUCUGGACUCUUUGACUUCAGUAACUGUCACUUCACUGGAUGACUCAAUGCCAAUGAAUGUUGCUCACCUGGAUUCUUCGGUUCCAGUAAAAGUGGACUCUUCAAUCCAGUGAAUGUCGCUCCCCGAGCAUAUGUAAUGCAGCGGAUGUUGCUUCUAGAGAUUGUGUGAUGACAUUGUGUGCUGCUCAUCGGGAAUCUGUCACCUGUAUUUACUAUACGCGGAAUUGGAAAAGGGAUGCCCAAUAUGCCCAUGCAGUGAGACAGAAUGAAGUUAAUACUAAUGGUGCAGUUUCACCAAAGUUAUUUCAGCUGGUGGAAGUCAAGUACCAUCGUUAUCUCGAGUUGAAUAGCCGGAUGUAGCGUUGGGUAAUGUGCUUGCUUUACCUAUAACUGCAUGGAAAAAUAAAGGAACACCCAAAUCUAUUCCCAGCAGGAGAAAUUGGAACGCAGAAGGUAGAAAUAACAAGAGCUGAAAUCGUAUGGGAAUUUUAUUUUUUUUUGGUGGGUUUUGUUUGUAGCUAUUAGUUUUGUACGUCACAAUUAGAAUUAUAUCAUAGUUUUUUGGGUUUAAAUCUAAUUUUAACAUAAAA